This 2381-nucleotide long non-coding RNA is filed under the name Homo sapiens (human). RNAcentral describes it as "non-protein coding MIR3663HG:9". The record is from RNAcentral. Lineage: Eukaryota; Metazoa; Chordata; Mammalia; Primates; Hominidae.
UUGAUGAACAAUAACUCGUUGGAGCUAUUUUGUCAUACUUGAGAUUUUCCAGAAAAUAGAACAAGCCCACAGAAUGGGUUUAAUCUGCCAAAGCAUCUCCCUCUUUACAAGCAUCUACACAGGCCUCCAGCCCUAAGUACUUUCACCUGGACAAUGUUAUGAAGCUUAAUCCAGUACUAGUAGCAGAAAGACUUGUGAAGCUGGGAUUAUGAGCGCCUGCCAUCAUGCCUGGCUAAUUUUUGUAUUUUUAGUAGAGGUGGGGUUUCGCCAUGUUGGCCAGGCUGGUCUUGAACUCCUGACCUCAGGAUCGGCACCCCAAAGUGCUGGGAUUACAGGUGCGAGUCUGCACCGGGCCAUAUUGCUAAUUUUAGAAGUGUUUUUAAACACAUUAAACCCAGCCUCUUUUCUUUUCUUUCUUUUUUUUUUUUUUUUUUUUUUUUGAGACGGAGUCUCAGUCGCCCAGGCUGGAGUGCAGUGGCGUGAUCUUGGCUCACUGCAAGCUCCGCCUCCAAGGUUCACGCCAUUCUGCUGCCUUGUCUCCCAAAUAGCUGGGACUACAGGCGCCCGCCACCACACCCGGCUAAUUUUUUGUAUUUUUUAGUAGAGACGGGGUUUCACCAUGUUAGCCAGGAUGGUCUCGAUCUCCUGACCUUGUGAUCUGCCCGCCUCGGCCUCCCAAAGUGCUGGGAUUACAGGCGUGAGCCACUGCACCCAGUCUCUUUUCUUUAUAAAUUACCCAGUCUCAGGUCGUUCUUUAUAGCAAUGUGAGAAUGAACUAAUACAAUACGCUUAUUCUUAACAUAGUGGAAAUUAACUCAAAUGUUUUAAAAUGAAAGAAAAUUCAAUGACCAAACAGAACCCAAAACCACACACUGGAUUUGGCUCAGGUUUUCAGCCUCUGCUUUAAACUAAUCCAUGUCGUCAUCUUGGAAGAUGCUCAGAGUUAUUGUUCUGUGACGUGACCUAUUUGUGUUUUUCCUGCGGCCUUGGUGCCUCAGAAUGACAGUAAUGGUAGAUAUUGCAGAGGGGAUAUGUUUUUGGUAACAGCACAUGGAAAGUCACCUACUCCACCUUUGGGCCAGCUUGUCUAAAUACCCAACUGCAGUCAUAUAAUUUACAGAGCCUGGUGACUCUACCAUCAAGCAUGUAAUCUCUGCCUAAGCACCCAACUCCCUUAGGCUUACCAUGUGUGAUCACAGAAUCUGAGAAUGUUAGAGCCAGGAGGACCCUUGGGAUCACCCUGACCUGCCUCCUGCUUCAGCAAGAAAGUGAAGGUCACAUGGGGUAGGGUCUUGCCUGGGGUCACUCAGCUUUUCAGUGACCCACUUGGAGCAAUAGCAUAGCCUCUUAAACCUCUGACUCUAUUUUCUUCCCCUUUUCCUGUAGCUUCCAUUUACAGCUAUAAAAUAAUUGUCUUUGCUUCAACUCCACAUCUUCCUCAGAAAGGGUAGUCCUCUGAGUCACUGGGAUUCCAAGUCAUGAAGGGCAGUUUGAAUGAGUGGCCAGUACUGUGGUAUACUUAUGGCCGAGGUCAAAAACAGGACCAGCAGAAUGCCGAAUCCCAGGAAUUCUUAUACAGCAAACCAAAACUCCCCCUUCCUGUGCACUUUCAACUGAUUGCCUUCUGUUUCCUUCACUAGAGAAUCACAAAGUCUCCCUUUUACUUCUAAAAAAAAAAAAAAGUGGCAAAACAUAAAAGCAAGCAAAAUAAUUUGUCCAGAUUAAGAACACAGUGGGAAGGCCAGGCGCAGUGGCUCAUGCCUGUAAUCCCAGCACUUUGGCAGGCCAAGCCAGGCAGAUCACUUGAGGCCAGGAGUUCAAGACCAUGCUGGCCAACAUGGCGAAACCCCAUCUCUACUAAAAAUACAAAAAUUACCAGGCAUGGUGGUGCACGCCUGUAACCCCAGCUACUUGGGAGGCUGAGACAUGAGAAAUGCUUGAACCUAGGAGGUGGAGGUUGCAGUAAGCCAAAGUCAUGCCACUGCACUCCACCCUGGGUGACAGAGUGACUAUUUUACUAUUUUACUCACUGUGACUAUUUAAAAACAUUUCUGAAGUGGCAGCAGCAACCAAGUAGCUGAAUGGAAGCAAAUUGUCCUGCUCUAGACCAGGGAGAUCAGACACCUUCCCAGCUCUGAGCUCUGGUAGGCAGGGCACUGGGAAGGUGUCUGACCCCUGCACCUCUUUAGCUGACUCCUUCUGUAAAAAUGGUGAAUAGAGCUUGGUUGGCCCACGAGGCAGAUGUCCUCCUCCUUCCUGCUUCCAUCAGCCCAGGGCUCAGGGUCCUGCCCAGAAACAAACAAACAAACAAACAAAAAAACACCUUAUGACAGGUGACCACAGCCAGCCACAGGCUCCUUCCAGAGAGCCUGCAUGGUAUU